GACGAACGCUGGCGGCGUGCUUAACACAUGCAAGUCGAACGGAAAGGCCCUGCUUUUGUGGGGUACUCGAGUGGCGAACGGGUGAGUAACACGUGAGUAACCUGCCCUUGACUUUGGGAUAACUUCAGGAAACUGGGGCUAAUACCGGAUAGGAGCUCCUGCUGCAUGGUGGGGGUUGGAAAGUUUCGGCGGUUGGGGAUGGACUCGCGGCUUAUCAGCUUGUUGGUGGGGUAGUGGCUUACCAAGGCUUUGACGGGUAGCCGGCCUGAGAGGGUGACCGGCCACAUUGGGACUGAGAUACGGCCCAGACUCCUACGGGAGGCAGCAGUGGGGAAUAUUGCACAAUGGGCGGAAGCCUGAUGCAGCAACGCCGCGUGCGGGAUGACGGCCUUCGGGCUGUAAACCGCUUUCGCCUGUGACGAAGCGUGAGUGACGGUAAUGGGUAAAGAAGCACCGGCUAACUACGUG
This 468-nucleotide ribosomal RNA is filed under the name uncultured bacterium. RNAcentral's name for it is "partial 16S ribosomal RNA". It matches the Rfam family "Bacterial small subunit ribosomal RNA", at positions 28 to 507 of the family's 1533-position model. The record is from RNAcentral.